RNAcentral lists this ribosomal RNA (500 nucleotides) under uncultured bacterium. RNAcentral describes it as "partial 16S ribosomal RNA". It matches the Rfam family "Bacterial small subunit ribosomal RNA", at positions 32 to 507 of the family's 1533-position model. The record is from RNAcentral.
AAUCAACGCUGGCGGCGUGCCUAACACAUGCAAGUCGAACGCGAAAGCCCCGCAAGGGGUAAGUAGAGUGGCAAACGGGUGAGUAACACGUGGGUGACCUGCCUUCGAGUGGGAGAUAACGUCCCGAAAGGGACGCUAAUACCGCAUGACAUCCUGCUUUUGAAAAAGCGGAGAUCAAAGCUGGGGAUCGCAAGACCUAGCGCUUGAAGAGGGGCCCGCGCCUGAUUAGCUAGUUGGUGAGGUAACGGCUCACCAAGGCGACGAUCAGUAUCCGGCCUGAGAGGGCGGACGGACACACUGGGACUGAGACACGGCCCAGACUCCUACGGGAGGCAGCAGUGGGGAAUUGUUCGCAAUGGGCGCAAGCCUGACGACGCAACGCCGCGUGGAGGACGAAGAUCUUCGGGUCGUAAACUCCUGUCGAGCGGGACGAACGCUUCGCGGAUGAAUAAUCCGCGGAAUUGACGGUACCGCUAAAGGAAGCCCCGGCUAACUCCGUG